GCCUCGAUAGCUCAGGGGUAGAGCGGUGCCUUGGUAAGGCACAGGUCGCGGGUUCAAAUCCCGCUCGAGGCU
RNAcentral lists this transfer RNA (72 nucleotides) under Methanothermus sociabilis. RNAcentral's name for it is "tRNA-Thr". It matches the Rfam family "tRNA". From Rfam's summary of the family: Transfer RNA (tRNA) molecules are approximately 80 nucleotides in length. Their secondary structure includes four short double-helical elements and three loops (D, anti-codon, and T loops). Lineage: Archaea; Methanobacteriati; Methanobacteriota; Methanobacteria; Methanobacteriales; Methanothermaceae. RNAcentral also lists the same sequence under 1 other name. The record is from RNAcentral.